This 425-nucleotide ribosomal RNA is filed under the name uncultured bacterium. RNAcentral's name for it is "bacterial SSU rRNA". It matches the Rfam family "Bacterial small subunit ribosomal RNA", at positions 356 to 773 of the family's 1533-position model. The record is from RNAcentral.
GGGGAAUCUUCCGCAAUGGACGAAAGUCUGACGGAGCAACGCCGCGUGUAUGAAGAAGGCCUUCGGGUUGUAAAGUACUGUUGUUGGGGAAGAACGGCAUAUGUGUAAACAAUGCAUAUGAAUGACGGUACCCAACGAGGAAGCCCCGGCUAACUACGUGCCAGCAGCCGCGGUAAUACGUAGGGGGCGAGCGUUGUCCGGAAUUAUUGGGCGUAAAGGGCGCGUAGGCGGUUACUUAAGUCGGAUGGGAAAGUGCGGGGCUUAACUCCGUAAAGCAUUGGAAACUGGGCAACUUGAGGACAGGAGAGGAAAGUGGAAUUCCACGUGUAGCGGUGAAAUGCGUAGAUAUGUGGAGGAACACCAGUGGCGAAGGCGACUUUCUGGACUGUAACUGACGCUGAGGCGCGAAAGCGUGGGGAUCAAAC